RNAcentral lists this ribosomal RNA (788 nucleotides) under uncultured bacterium. RNAcentral describes it as "bacterial SSU rRNA". It matches the Rfam family "Bacterial small subunit ribosomal RNA", at positions 51 to 816 of the family's 1533-position model. The record is from RNAcentral.
ACACAUGCAGUCGAGCGGCAGCGACACAUUGAACCUUCGGGGGAUUUGUUGGGCGGCGAGCGGCGGACGGGUGAGUAAUGCCUGGGAAAUUGCCCUGAUGUGGGGGAUAACCAUUGGAAACGAUGGCUAAUACCGCAUGAUAGCUUCGGCUCAAAGAGGGGGACCUUCGGGCCUCUCGCGUCAGGAUAUGCCCAGGUGGGAUUAGCUAGUUGGUGAGGUAAGGGCUCACCAAGGCGACGAUCCCUAGCUGGUCUGAGAGGAUGAUCAGCCACACUGGAACUGAGACACGGUCCAGACUCCUACGGGAGGCAGCAGUGGGGAAUAUUGCACAAUGGGCGCAAGCCUGAUGCAGCCAUGCCGCGUGUAUGAAGAAGGCCUUCGGGUUGUAAAGUACUUUCAGCAGUGAGGAAGGGGGUAUCGUUAAUAGCGGUAUCUUUUGACGUUAGCUGCAGAAGAAGCACCGGCUAACUCCGUGCCAGCAGCCGCGGUAAUACGGAGGGUGCGAGCGUUAAUCGGAAUUACUGGGCGUAAAGCGCAUGCAGGUGGUUUGUUAAGUCAGAUGUGAAAGCCCGGGGCUCAACCUCGGAAUUGCAUUUGAAACUGGCAGGCUAGAGUACUGUAGAGGGGGGGUAGAAUUUCAGGUGUAGCGGUGAAAUGCGUAGAGAUCUGAAAGGAAUACCGGUGGCGAAAGGCGGCCCCCUGGACAGAUACUGACACUCAGAUGCGAAAGCGUGGGAGCAAACAGGAUUAGAUACCCUGGUUAGUCCACCGCCGUAAACGAUGUCUUA